UGCGUUCCUUGUCUUUGAGGCCGACUGAUUGGUCACUGUUAUGUAUCUUGUGCUUGUCUAGCCGAUCUUGAGUUAAUCUCUCCUUCUCUGUCCACUUCCACGAUAAAACCCAUCUGCGCAACAGCUGACGACCUCUGUGCAUUUCAGCGUAGCGCGCAUCCCCUCCUCAGUUCUUGUGACAUUUUUUUAGCGUCGUGAACGUGGCUUGGUUUUUUUUGCGCCCUGGUUUUGAUUUGACAUCAUUCCAUGGACCAAAACUCACCUCACCAUUAGUGCGUCCAUUUCUUCUUCUUCUUCACCUUCUGCCUAGUCCUUCAUUUUAUUUUUUUCCAGCUCCUCCACUGCUCCUGUCUGUGCCUGUGGUGAAGUCAACACACAAACAUGCACACAAACAAAUACAAACACCCCCCUUCAUAAACAAAAGACAUUCAUCCUUUUGGUUGUUUCCCUCUCAACACUCUCCACUACCAACCACCCCCCAUACCUUUUUUCGGAGCUAGCCUGCGUUGUUUUUUUCCAUUUGCGGGGUGUCGGUCGUGUCCGUACUCCUCACCCUGUUUGUGUCGUCUGCAGCCGAACGGGAGCGGCCAGAGCAAAAUGCCGGGCUCCUUCUUGCUGCCUCCACCCCCCCCUGUGGCGCGUCCAGUGCCCCUCCCAAUGCCAGACUCUAAAUCCAGCAGCACGCCCCCCGAUGGUGGACUCACCUCACCCACAUCUCCGUCAUACUCCACGCCAGGCUCCACAGCUCCCAACAGGUUUGUCAGCAUCGGAUCACGGGACAACAACUUUCUGAACAUACCCCAGCAGACGCAGGUGAUUCUUACUCGGUCAUAUUCAAAACUAACCUUUGAGUGUUUAAAAUCAUGCAUCUUAACACGUUAGGCUGCUGCUCCCCUCCUGACUUUCCUCGUUUCCCAUGAUGCUCUCUGUUCUGCGGUGUCGGGCCCAUCUGGAGCGGGUCUGCGAUAACUGGAGCUGAUCGGCGUGGUGUAGUUGAUUUGAGCGUUGCGAAUGUGCGGCCUCCUCCAUCACCCAGUACACUUUAGUCAUUAAUGUGUAAAGCACACCCGCCCCGGGGCGGCUCCCUGCUCCUCAACACAUGGUGACCAUCUGAAGCCGCUAACUCACCCGCUCUCACCUCCUCCCUCUGCUGGUCGGCCUCUCUGGAUUUGACCAUUUAUUUCCCUCUCUUUCUGCUUAACCGUUCCUCAUUUCUACCUUCUUUAACUAAUUUCUCGACUCGCUAUCACCCUCUGCUGGUGACUCCUGUUUUUUUUUUGUCUUCUCUCCUGUCAGUGACUUCGCAUUUGGCACAUUUUAUUCUAAAUUUUAAAAGGCAGAUAAAGAACUUUUUGUUUUAGUCCUCUCAGAGAGAAACUGCUUGAGUGUGCAAAUUAGCAGCAAGUUAUCAUAAGCAAACGUUUUGCGAAGAUUCGUUAUUUGCAGUUGCACUUAAUUAUUCAGUUGUUUUUAUUUUCAAAAUGUGCUUUGAGAAAUGAAUUAGUUGUAAUUCAU
Molecule: long non-coding RNA, 1515 nt
Filed under: Sinocyclocheilus grahami
Lineage: Eukaryota; Metazoa; Chordata; Actinopteri; Cypriniformes; Cyprinidae
Description: lncRNA (ENSSGRG00000038271.1)
Source: RNAcentral